AGAGUUGAUUAUGGCUCAGGAUGAACGCUAGCUACAGGCUUAACACAUGCAAGUCGAGGGGCAGCGGGAGGAAAGCUUGCUUCCUGCCGGCGACCGGCGCACGGGUGCGUAACGCGUAUCGAACCUGGCCCAUACACGGGGAUAGUCUCCUGAAAGGGAGGUUAAUACCCCGGCGGUCCCACUUGGUCGCAUGACUGUGUGGGUGAAGAUUCAUCGGUAUGGGAUGGCGGUGCGUAGGAUUAGCUAGUCGGCGGGGUAACGGCCCACCGAGGCUACGAUCCUUAGGGGUUCUGAGAGGAAGGUCCCCCCACACUGGUACUGAGACACGGACCAGACUCCUACGGGAGGCAGCAGUGAGGAAUAUUGGUCAAUGGCCGAGAGGCUGAACCAGCCAAGUAGCCGUGCAGGACGACGGCCCUCUGGGUUGUAAACUGCUUUUAUAGGGGAAUAAAGUUCGCCACGUGUGGCGUUUUGUAUGUACCCUAUGAAUAAUGACCGGCUAAUUCCGUGCCAGCAGCGGC
RNAcentral lists this ribosomal RNA (521 nucleotides) under uncultured bacterium. Its description in RNAcentral is "bacterial SSU rRNA". It matches the Rfam family "Bacterial small subunit ribosomal RNA", at positions 8 to 518 of the family's 1533-position model. The record is from RNAcentral.